This 450-nucleotide ribosomal RNA is filed under the name uncultured bacterium. RNAcentral describes it as "bacterial SSU rRNA". It matches the Rfam family "Bacterial small subunit ribosomal RNA", at positions 28 to 475 of the family's 1533-position model. The record is from RNAcentral.
GAUGAACGCUGGCGGCGUGCUUAACACAUGCAAGUCGAACGAAGCACUCUAUUUGAUUUUCUUCGGAAAUGAAGAUUUUGUGACUGAGUGGCGGACGGGUGAGUAACGCGUGGGUAACCUGCCUCAUACAGGGGGAUAACAGUUGGAAACGACUGCUAAUACCGCAUAAGCGCACAGGAUUGCAUGAUCCGGUGUGAAAAACUCCGGUGGUAUGAGAUGGACCCGCGUCUGAUUAGCCAGUUGGCAGGGUAACGGCCUACCAAAGCGAUGAUCAGUAGCCGACCUGAGAGGGUGACCGGCCACAUUGGGACUGAGACACGGCCCAAACUCCUACGGGAGGCAGCAGUGGGGAAUAUUGCACAAUGGGGGAAACCCUGAUGCAGCGACGCCGCGUGAGCGAAGAAGUAUUUCGGUAUGUAAAGCUCUAUCAGCAGGGAAGAAGAAUGACGG